GUUGGUAUUGCUAGCAAGAUAUUGCCGUCUUUUUUAUCUCUGUCAACAAACAUCAUGAAUAACUUUCUGAAAAGCUGACAUCUCUCCAGUGUCCUUCAGCUACCUAUAAGCAAGGUGGUCCUUGAAGCUUUGUUUCUGGGCACAACUUUUCUUGUGAUGCUCAGUGUUAACCUACGACCUACACCUUACUCAAUACAACUCAUGCUGGAGAACAUGUGGAACCCGAGUUCUAUUCUACUGCCGAUGAUGGACAGUCUAACGAUGGUAUGGAAUCAAUGGAAAAGUAGGUAUUGACCACAUGAGAAGCAAUGGGAAAUGUUUGCCUCUGUAUAAAUAGAAAGAAAACACAGCCUGGUCACUUUAUAGGGCUGGAGAUUUCAAUGCAGGCAAAGCAGGGGAAAAAAAAUGAUCUACUAUCAUUUGUAAAGCCUUGUAAAGGAAAAGUGCAAAGCAAAGGAAAGGAGGGACGUGGGCAAUCUGCCCACUGCAGAAGUGAGGAGAACUCGGAAAGCUCUUCAGAUCCCACAUGCCAUCCAUCAUGGCUUGGAAAGCUUUUCAGUUAAGUGCAAGGCAAAGUGGCUGUGAAUUUAAUUCCUUGUGCACAGGUUAGUGAUGUUAAAUAAAUGCUUUCUUUGCUUGCAUAGUCUAAUACAAGUUCCUUCUUAGGUCAUAUAUUUAGUUUGAAUCAAUUGUAUCAAGGACCAUAACCUUAAUAGAUGUUAAUGAAAUGGAAAAAUAAAAAAGGUGCUAAUUUGCUGCAGUUACUGAUCAAAACUCUAUAAAAUAAAAUUACUGAGCAUCCACACCAAUGGCUUAUCCUCCUUUCCAGUCCUUUGUGCUCUACCAGUGAAGACCAAGAGGAAAGUCAGCAUUGGGUACCAACUGGUGCAUCAUCAAAAUGUGGAACAGAUGUGAUUGAAUAAAUCAUGCAUUUAUAGUGAACAAACACAAGAGGGUGCAAUAAGCAUGUCCAGAGACUUUAGCUGUCAUGGAAACAACUUCAGCUCAGAAACUGCAACUCUUAAUGCAUAUCCUUUGAUUUGUGUCUGUUAUUUAGAGGCCAUC
Long non-coding RNA from Neopsephotus bourkii (Bourke's parrot), 1065 nucleotides. RefSeq lists it as uncharacterized. The record is from RefSeq and is a predicted model, not a curated record. The transcript has 4 exons. NCBI's taxonomy places the organism in Eukaryota, Metazoa, Chordata, Aves, Psittaciformes, Psittacidae.